This is a long non-coding RNA of Astatotilapia calliptera (eastern happy), 1290 nucleotides long. The record is from Ensembl. NCBI's taxonomy places the organism in Eukaryota, Metazoa, Chordata, Actinopteri, Cichliformes, Cichlidae.
GUGGAUUUCAAAAGCUUCUUCCCUUAAAUCACUGCCUAAAAACUGCUUUUUGUAAUUUGUCAUAAUGACUUGCAAAAUAUAGGUGGGAUGAAAACAUAAACAUAAGACAUUUUAUAGUGGCCUGAUAUUUUUAUCAAGGCUGUUUUUUUGAAAAUAAUCCUGGCCUAAUUUACAAAAGAUGAACUGUCUGAAAGUCAUGUUUGUUUGUUUGUUUAAGAAAUGUGGGAAUCUCCAGCAAAGAUCUUACAUGCAACAGCUCAGAUACAGCACUCACUUCUGUUCUUUUUAUCAUGAAAUGAUCUACAAAGAAAUGAUCAUCAUACUAAAUUUUGCUAAUUAGGCCUUUAUAUCAGCUAUGAUAAGUUUAUUAUAGAUUUAGUGUAGUGCUUAUUGCUGUGUAUCAAACAUGCCCCAAAUGUGACUGAAAUAUGUAGAAACUGCUGUGUAGAAACUAGCUGUCUCCAAAUUUCUCAUUUUGCCAAAAUACAUACAGAGUGGCUUGAAACUGUCUGCUCUAACCUCAGUGUGUUGGUUUUGUUGGACCAUAUAAUAUUUACAGUAAGUUACUGUAGCAGCACGUCUUGGUGUAAGUUUAUAGAGUGUUUUUUUUUUUUUAUUGUGUUAAUAGAAUUUGAAUGCAGGCCACCUCAAAUGUCAAAGCCUACAAACAUUCCAUACAAGCUAUCAUUUGUGAUUGUUGCCUACUUUUAAAUUGUGACAUCACCAUUUGAUAAAGUGUGUAGUAGUAGGUGAAGCAAAUCAUUGGUUACGAUCUCUACUCUCUUAUGUAACUGAACCUAAAUUUUGGAGCAUUACAUGACUCAGAAACUUGUGUGGCUUAUUGCAAAUGGAUAAAACUACAUAUUACCUUUUAUGAAGAUGAUCAUCUUUAUUAGGGUGCGGAAAAAGAAAACAGAGGAGAGUUGUUGUUGUCUAAUGCCGAUUGGAGUUGUCUGAGCCUGUAUUUUUGUUCUUUGUCUUUUGUUACACAGAGUGAACAGCUCUUUGGCUUUGCCUUUGCUGGUAAGUAGACAGUAAUGGUAAUGUUUAGUAAUUUACUUACAGUAGUUUGGGUAUUUGUGUUAUCUUGCCAUUCACUCAUGGGCAAAGACAAAUAGUCAGGAUUUAGAAUCUGUAGCAGCAAAGCCCCCACACAGGACGACUGACUGCCCCAGAAAAUGUCAAUGAAGUUUAAUAGCCCAUUAAUGUCUGAUUUUAAUUUUUGAUGGCUUAUCAAGUCCAAACAUAGUUAAAUGUCAGAGACAUCUUUAUGCAGUUGUUUGAUUUCUC